UUUGCUACAAUGUUUUCGGUUUUCAGUUUCAGCAAUAAUAAGUUCAAUCCAAACGGACCCUUAGUGUUUAUUUGUGGCUUACACAUUACAAAUAGGUGUUGAAUUUUGAAACUUUGCUUAGUUUUAAUAGUUGAAGGAUGGGAGAGAGGAAGGUGCUAAACAAAUACUAGGCACUUGUCUUCAACUCAGAGGAUUUUGAGGGGUCAAGCACACAUGAUGCUCCCCAUAAGUAGAUGUUAUUGGUGACAAUUAUUUAUUGAAGGUUCUGAUUCUACUUCAAAUGUACAAAUGUUUUGCUGAGCUUACCAUCAAGACUAAUCCACAAAAUUUCAACUAUAUUGUUAAGUCUGGUGCUACCAGAAAUUUUGAACCUGUGUGAAGAGGAUGAGGCAGCAGAGACAAUAACCAUAAAAAAGAAGUAGGAGAGAUGGAAGAUGCAAUGAAAUCUUUAGACAACAAAAACCUUGGAUUUGAAAAUAAAAAUGGACAUCAUUACUACACUGGAUGGGAUGAAAUCUAUGAAGCUCUUUUUCUUGUAUUUCAUCGACUUAAUUGGCAGACAAGGUACCCCACAUGAAGAAAGUUCUUGGGAAUGAUGAGGUUUUGUUGAAAUUUGAUGAGACGAAGGGUAGGGGGAGUUUUGAGAGUUUGGAGAGUUUGAUGGAGUAAGAGGAUGGUAGUUUAGGUAGUGCUUCUGAGAUUGAAUGGGAGAGUAGUGAAAUUGAAGUUAAAUAGGAUGAAAGAGAGAAUCAUUUUUAUGGUAUGGCAGUGGUAUCUUCUGCAUCAUCACAAUUUGGCAUGUUCCAACUUCUAUGAUUGGUGAGAGCAUGUACUGGUGACUGUUUCUUCACUAUGUUGGCGUGCUUGACAUAGCAGUACGUGAUGGAAAUGUACGGUGCUCAGGACAACCCCAGAGCCACACUUCCUAUUUUGAACUCAUGAUAGAUGCUUCCAAGACACCUAUACCAAUUAGGCUUGAGCUUGGUGGAGAAAUGCAUUUAUUGUGUAUGAAGAUGUGUGUGUGGAUCAUGUAUGAUUCCUUUUGAAAUUUGAUGUUUAGCUGGCUUUAAGUCUGUUUGUCGUGUUUUCCCUUAUAUCUAUCAAUUGUUCGUGGAAACGAAUAGCAUGGUAGAAACAUAAUUAGUGUGCUUUUGUUUAGCUUAUAAAAACAAUACAGGUAGUUU
Long non-coding RNA from Quercus lobata, 1184 nucleotides. RefSeq lists it as uncharacterized. The record is from RefSeq and is a predicted model, not a curated record. Lineage: Eukaryota; Viridiplantae; Streptophyta; Magnoliopsida; Fagales; Fagaceae. The transcript is spliced from 4 exons.